RNAcentral lists this ribosomal RNA (779 nucleotides) under uncultured Bacteroidota bacterium. RNAcentral describes it as "bacterial SSU rRNA". It matches the Rfam family "Bacterial small subunit ribosomal RNA", at positions 561 to 1344 of the family's 1533-position model. The record is from RNAcentral. Lineage: Bacteria; Pseudomonadati; Bacteroidota.
UAAAGGGUGCGCAGGCGGUGGAGCAAGUCAGUGGUGAAAGCCCGAAGCUUAACUUCGGGAUUGCCAUUGAAACUGUUUCACUUGAGUUUAGUCGGGGACGGCGGAAUGAGUUGUGUAGCGGUGAAAUGCAUAGAUAUAACUCAGAACACCAAUUGCGGAGGCAGCUGUCUAGACUAAAACUGACGCUGAGGCACGAAAGCGUGGGGAGCGAACAGGAUUAGAUACCCUGGUAGUCCACGCAGUAAACGAUGAUCACUCGUUGUUGGCUACUUGGUAGUCAGUGACUAAGGGAAACCGUUAAGUGAUCCACCUGGGGAGUACGUCGGCAACGAUGAAACUCAAAGGAAUUGACGGGGGCCCGCACAAGCGGAGGAACAUGUGGUUUAAUCCGAUGAUACGCGAGGAACCUUACCUGGGCUUAAAUGCAGGCUGCAUUGGGUGGAAACACCCAUUUCCUACGGGACCGCCUGCAAGGUGCUGCAUGGUUGUCGUCAGCUCGUGCCGUGAGGUGUCGGGUUAAGUCCCAUAACGAGCGCAACCCCUAUCGUUAGUUGCCAGCAUGUGAUGGUGGGGACUCUAGCGAGACUGCCGGUGUAAACCGGAGGAAGGUGGGGAUGACGUCAAAUCAGCACGGCCCUUACGUCCAGGGCUACACACGUGUUACAAUGGCCGGUACAAAGAGCAGCCACCUGGCGACAGGGUGCUAAUCUUCAAAGCCGGUCUCAGUUCGGAUCGAAGUCUGCAAUUCGACUUCGUGAAGGUGGAUUCGCUAGUAAUCG